UUUUUUUUUUUUUUUUUUGUCUUUUUGCUAUUUCUUGGGCCACUCUCGCGGCAUAUGGAGGUUCCCAGGCUAGGGGUCCAUUCGGAGCUGUGGCCACCGGCCUACGCCAGAGCCACAGCAACACGGGAUCCGAGCCGCGUCUGCAGCCUAUACCACAGCUUACGGCAACACCAGAUCCUUAACCCACUGAGCAAGGCCAGGGAUCAAACCUGCAACCUCAUGGUUCAUAGUCGGAUUUGUUAACCACUGUGCCAUGACAGGAACUCCACAGUGAUUUUUUUUUUAACUUCAGCUGCUAUCAUAGCUGAUAUUCUCUUAUUUCAAAUCUUAUUUAAGGAAUUUCCAUCAUGGCUCAGUGGUAGCAAACCCAACUAGUAUCCAUGAGGACACUGAUUCAAUCCCUGACCUUGCUCAGUGGGUUAAGGAUCCAGCGUUGCCAUGAGCUGUGCUGUAGGUUGCAGAGGUGUCUCAGAUCCAGUGUUCCUGUGGCUGUGGUGUAGGCCAGCAGCUGUUGCUCCAAUUUGACCCUUACCCUGGGAACUUCCAUAUUCCUAUGCUGUGGGUGCAGCCCUAAAAAACAAAAAAAAAUUAAAAUAAAAAAUUAGUUAAAAUCUUAUUUAAGAUAGUUCUCCCAAGAUUUAAAAUUCUUAAAGUGAGGUUUAGGGAGCACCUGCCUUUGAAGUUUAGUCCCUUUGUGCUAAGGACUUUGUUACAUACAGAGGAAUGCAUUUCUGUUUCAGAAAGUACUUACUAUGCACAUUUCCUAUACUUGGAAUAAGAGUGAGUUUGAAGGAAAUGAGACCUUCUGGAACUUAGUAAAGGCUCCAGUUAGGACUGCAGCUUAGGGAAGACUUGAUAAAGUAGCCAGUGGAGUCGCUGACAUAUUGGGAAGGAAAUACCUUUGUGACUCUGGAUAUUUCUGGUUGCCUCCCUUCAGACUCUGUAGUAAUGGAGGACCGACCAUGGAAACAAAGAACACAGGUUGAUGUACAAUAGGAUGAUCAAGAAUUUGAAAAUCAGGUGGUGCUACUGGACAGUCACUCAGACUGUACUAUUUUAUUUUAUUUUAUUUAUUUUAUUUUUUUGCUUUUUAGGGCCGCACCCGUGCCAUAUGAAGUUUCCCAGGUUAGGGGUCGAAUUGGAGCUACAGUUGCCGGCCUACACCACAUCAGAUCCAAGCCGCAUCUGCAACCUACACCACAGCUCAGGGCAAUGCCAGAUCCCCAACCCACUGAGUGAGGCCAGGAAUUGAACCUGCAUCCUCAUGGAUACUAAUCGGGUUCAUUUCCACUGUACCACAAUGGGAACUCCCAUAAAUGACUUCAUUUUAUCUGGAUUUCACUUUCUUUUUGUCAUUUCCUGUUAUUUUUAUCCCUACAUAUAUUGUUGAUACAAAAUAUUAGGAGUAUUGCUGUUGAAUCAUGUCAUAUUAUGACACUGCUUUAGGGAUGACAUGAAGCUGACAUAAACUUUCACUGCUUCUAACAGAAUAAAUGAUGCCAUGCUUGAAAUACCAUUGAAUGGCUCAUAGAUAAUAUGAGUUGAGUCUCAAUGAGUUUUUGCCAUAAUUUAGAUGUAAAUGCCACAUUGCUAAUGUUCCAAAAUUAUCAGUACAUUUAUUUCUGCUGAAGCCCAAGAACCAAUGAAGUUUGCAUAGCAAAAAGAGGAAUGUGGCAUUUACAGCUAAAUUUUGGUUCUCAAGAUACAUAAAUUGGCAUAAUUAUUAUUAUUAUCAUUGCUGUUGUUAUUAUUAUUGAGUCAAGAGAUUAUUUCUGAAUUAUAGUUUUCAUUAAAUUACAAUGUAUUUUGAUUUCUUUCAAAAGUAAAAUAAUCUGAGUUUUUGGUUAAAUGCACUAUUGCGGAGGUGUAUGUGGGGGUGGGUAACACCAGCCCUCCCAAGGUCCCCACCAUGUGGGCUGCCCCCAAGAACUAUGUCUGUGCUUGUGAGCUUUGCAAACCAUACAGCUUAUUGUCUUUUUCCUUCUUUUUUGGCUGGAAAUCUCAGAACAAAAUUUCGUUGUUCCUUUGAGCUGAGGUGUUACAAUGUCCAGUGCUUAUUCUCACAUGGGAUCCUCCCCUGUUCUUCUUUGCCUUCACCUUGGUUCAUUACCCAUUUCCUAACUCCCUGCUUAAUAUGCAUCACUACUCAAACCUUUCUUAGGAAAGGGAUGGGGAUGUACACAUAAAUGCAUUCUUUACUUUCAUGAUUAGUCUAGCAUUCAGUUAAAAUUCCAGAUUCCAAUAGUAGAUUAACAUUGCAAAAAUUUCAACGUGGGAGCCUUUUUUGGGUCACAGUGUCCCCUAAGCUAUGUUGCUUUAGAAGACUUGCUUCGACUUGUCUACAAAGAAGAACAUUAGACUCUUUCUAUAAAGUAUCUUCCCGAGAGGUAAUUACUACAGAAUUUCCAAGGUAGGAUAAUCUGAUAUUCAGAAUUCUGGCUUCUUAUCUCUGCAAAUUUUUUUGUUGUUGUCGUUAUUGGAUGGGGCAGCAUCUGUGUUCCACAUGCACUUGCUUUUUAUAGACAGUUUUCUUUAGCCUUCAUAUCUCAAUGAGUAAGAAAGCAAAUGGACCUUACAAAUUGCAAAAUAAUAUUCACUGACAAGCAGUUGACUAAAGUAAGUGAGCACUAUGUUAUGGGUCCCAGUGCCUGCUGAUUCUGUCACUGUGAUUCUCUGUUCAAAGAGUUGUGCCAUGAUUAUUAGUUGCCUGUAAACAACUCCAACUAUUUCUGUGGUGUUGAAAAUAAGUUCUCAUUAAAAAAAAUUAUUAAUGGUUGACUGACAAUGUUUUAUUGGUUGCAGGUAUACAGCAUAGUGAAUCAGUUAUGUGUAUACACUAUCCAUUCUUUUUUCCCAUCAAGGUUAUUACCAAAUAUUGAGUAGAUUUCGCUGUGCUCUACAGUAGGUUCUCAUUAAUCAUCUAUCUUAUACAAUAGCGUAUGUGAGUUAUUCCCAUCCUCCCUAUUCUUCCCUCCCCCCAGACAAGUUCUCAUUUUGCUAUGAGCCCAGGAUCUUAUAUCCUAAUGAGUGAACAUUCUCCUGCGUUUCAUAGUUGUGGUCAAAUACAGGGCUACCUCAAAGUCUUCCCAUGGAGAAUACUCGACUUUCUUUUAUAAAAACAUUUUUAUGCCCUGAGUUAUCUUCCUGACUUCAUCAGACACCCGCUGCAGAUCCACCUGUCUUCUUGGCAUCAGGACAGGAUUUGAAGGGCUGGCUGGGACUUUCCAGGGCACGUCUUGUCUUUUCGAUGAACAACUGUCAACAGGUGUGAAGAUGACAAAGAACCAGGCCAGGAGCAGGGCGGUGUGGGGUGGGCAGAAAAGAAGAGCUUCCUGUAGAACCCAUGGCACUUGCAGUUUUAUACAUGCCCCCCAUGACGACCCACUCCCGCCUGGCACCUGGAGGUGACUGGAAAGAUCCAACCAAGUGGGACUAGGCAGCAUGCCACCAUGACAGAUGGAUCUCUGUGUGGUCACGAUGCCAAGUAUUCUAUGCAUCAAGUGUCUCUGCUAAAAGUUUGAGUCUCUGCCAGGAUUAUCCAAAUGGAUGUCUGUCUCCAAACCUGGGCACGAGGCGCGUGACAUGAAGCGUUCACUCAUCCGGCUGCUGCCAGAGAUUCACGUCGGCUUGUUCAAAGGUCUGGGCGGGGGCCCUGGGGCUGGGAUCUCAGCUGAGUUGGAUGCAGGAGUCCUCCAGCUGCUUUUGCAUCUGCCUCUCCUAGGGCCCAGGGUCCAUGAGGCCUCAGAUCUUCUCCAUGACACAUGUUCCCUUUCCUGGAGACUCAAGAAAGAGAGCCCUUGCUGGUUAGGAGGAAAGGAAAGUUAUGUGCAGAUGCCUUGUUUCUUCUUCAUAUUUGACACCUCAGUACAGACACUGUGAUAUGUAAAGUAAGGGUAGAGUCAGUGACUGUUAGACUAUGUAGAAUAGAAUUUAUCAACAAAUAGCCUUUCAUCAUUACAUUAAAUCCAUGAAGUAUCAUCUCUUUGUAGGGAGCGGGGUAGGGGGCAAAUUAUGUCUAUGAAUAGGAGGGUUUAUCCUAGAUUUUUCUUUCUAAGAAUAUUAAUAUGUAUAAUAUAUACUAUACAUAUAUAUUACUUUUUAUAGAUUACUCUGACUAUAUCUUUGACUAUAGACACACCCACACAUACACAUGUGUAGUGAUGAACAUGCAGAUUUUUUAUUCUUCAUUCUGUCAACACAUCUCUAAGAACUGACUUGGCCCAACCUUAUUAGCGCUGAGGGACUGAAUGUGCCUUCAGAAUAUUUACCAAAAUAAAGUACAAUAGCUGUUGCUUGGUGAUGCAGCGUGAAGCAAAAAUGUACUGUCUUCUUUGGAUUAAAAUGUUCAUGUCAUAUUUUCUUUGUCUGGGGACGGGGCAGUGUGAAUAUCCCAUGCUCUUCUGAUGACCUCAGUAGGAGUAUAUGAAAUAGCAAUGAGUCAACCUUCCAGAGUGUCUGCAGGCCCCUGUGUUUCCCCAUGCAUUGUUGUAAGAGGAGAACACAGUCAGGCAACUACACAAAAUGAGAAAGCAUAUUAUGCUCCUCAACGUGAAGACAUCUAACUUGUAUUACUUCUUGUUUUCUCAGAGUUCACUGUUUCGGAUUCAUGUCAAAAUAGAGGAUCUGCUAGAAAAUUUGCAGAAGUAAAAGGAGACCAUUUCAUUUAUAUUUUCCAAUUUUUUAAAUGAAAUGCUUCUCUUCCUUGCCCCUCCAUAAGUUUGUAUUAUUACGCUAUAGAUUUUUAAAAGACAUCAUCCAUUCUGUAGUACUAUAGAAUCACAUUUAAUUUUUUUCUGGCCCUUAGUGGAAGUAACUAUCCAGAAAAUGAACUAAAACAAUCAUCCAUAGUUUUCCAAUCUUUCUCUCUGCCUAAUUUAGGUAUCCUAUCACCAUCUGUCUGUUCCAGAACUGUUUUUUUGAGAAAAUAACAGCAUCCCACCUAAUAAUAUGAAAUAAUAAUCACUGAAUUUAUACUUUAAAAUCUUAAUUGCAUACAAUUAAUUAGAGCACAAUUUUAAUAGAUUCCUUUGAUAAUCACAUUAAUUAAGAAGGAUGCACAGUAAUUGGGUUCUAUCCAAACUGUAAUAUCCCUCCAGCUGCUGGCCGAGGAUGCUCUUCUAGUUAUGAACCCCCAAAGAAUAUGGUAGAAAGGUUGGCAUGCAAUUUGGCAGCAUGUCUGUAAUUCCAGGGAUACGUGCACUGUCCCCUCGCUCAGAGAUUUGUCAGUGGCUCUUCCUAAGAUUAAAUAUAGUUAAGAACAGUAGGAAACUGGAAUUCCGACCUGCAGAAUAUAUAUUGUAGGCCCAAAAGUGGCCUGGCAGCUAGUGCCCCAGAGCCUGUGGGUUGAGACCUUAUUAAAUGAGCUGUAGAUGCUGGUAUGGUGACACCUCCUGCAGGGGCUCUGUGAGGGGAGGGGAGGCUGGAAUAGUGCCCCUGGAAUAAUCCCCUUCUCCCUUUCAUGCUGGUAGACAGCUAGUCCUUGAUGACAUUUGGUGAAGAAAUGUCUGUUGUGACUCACAGGCCUAGAAAACAGACUUGGGAGUUUGGGGUUAGUAAAUGCAAACCAUUACCUUUCGAAUGGAUAAGCAGUGAGGUCCUGCUAUAUAGCAAAGGGAACUGUAUCCAGUUUCUGGGAUAGAUCAUGAUGGAAAAGAAUAUAAAAAAGAAUGGAUAUAUAUGUAUGCCUGAGUCACUUUGCUGUACAGCAGAAAUUGGCACCAAAUUGUAAAUUGACUAUACUUUAAUUUUUUUAAGACCAAAAUGAAAGAAAGAAAUGAAGGAAAAAAUGAAGGAAGGAAAGAAGGGAGGGAGGAAGGAAGGAAAGAAAGAAAGAAGGAAGGGAGAAGAAGAAAGGAAGAAAGGUCUGUUGCACCUCUGCCCAACUCUGGGAAAACAGUCUAGGAAAGGAAUGACCCCACUCCCAGAAGCUUUCCUAGGAAGCGAAGCCAGGCUGUCAACACAUAUUGACAGUAACUACAGUAAAAUGUGACAAGCACAACAAGAGAACUCAAACAUCUGUGGGAUUAAAGAAGAACAGUUAAUAUCCCCUGGGGGCAUCAGGCACAUCACGGGCCAAAGCCUUACCUGCACCCAGGAAUCCACUAAGCUUUCCCGUGCCCUCUUUCUGUUUUUAAAAAAGUAGCCGGUGGAGUUCCCUGAUGGUGCAGCAGGCUAAGGAUCCAGCAUGGUCACUGCUGUGAUAUGGGUUCCAUCCCUGGCUUGGAAACUUAUGCAUGUUGUAGGCACAGCCAGAAAAAAAAAAAUUUAAGAGCUGGUAUUUUAUGUCACUUAGCCUUGAAGCCUUUCAAACUAAUUGGAAUUCAGCAGUGGUUAUCCUAUUUCUCA
Molecule: long non-coding RNA, 6345 nt
Filed under: Sus scrofa (pig)
Lineage: Eukaryota; Metazoa; Chordata; Mammalia; Artiodactyla; Suidae
Description: lncRNA (ENSSSCG00000057299.1)
Source: RNAcentral